RNAcentral lists this ribosomal RNA (450 nucleotides) under uncultured bacterium. RNAcentral describes it as "bacterial SSU rRNA". It matches the Rfam family "Bacterial small subunit ribosomal RNA", at positions 338 to 780 of the family's 1533-position model. The record is from RNAcentral.
CCUACGGGAGGCUGCAGUCGAGAAUCUUUCGCAAUGGGCGCAAGCCUGACGAAGCGACGCCGUGUGUGUGAUGAAGGCCUUAGGGUUGUAAAACACUUUCGCUUAAGAACAAGAGACGGAGGCUAAUAUCCUCCGAAUUUGAGAGUAUUAGGUAAAGAAGCACCGGCUAACUACGUGCCAGCAGCUGCGGUAAUACGUAGGGUGCAAGCAUUAAUCGGAUUUAUUGGGCGUAAAGGGCGCGCAGGCGGAACCGCAAGUCGGGUGUGAAAUCCCGGGGCUCAACCCCGGAACGGCACUCGAAACUACGGAUCUAGAGGGUAGGCGGAGAAAACGGAGUUCUACAAGUAGCGGUGAAAUGCGUAGAUAUGUGGAAGAACAUCGGUGGCGAAGGCGGUUUUCUAGCUUAUACCUGACGCUGAGGCGCGAAAGCAAGGGGAGCAAACAGGAUUA